This is a long non-coding RNA of Stomoxys calcitrans (stable fly), 559 nucleotides long. RefSeq lists it as uncharacterized. Lineage: Eukaryota; Metazoa; Arthropoda; Insecta; Diptera; Muscidae. The transcript has 3 exons. The record is from RefSeq and is a predicted model, not a curated record.
AGUAAACGGUUAAAGUGUAUCGUCUUUUGUAUGAAGGUGGUGGUAGUGUAUCGUCUUUUGUAUGAAGUUUUCUCGCUAUUUUCCUCGUCUUUCUUGAAGUACAACUUUGUUCGUCCGACCUCGUUCUACCUAAUGUAUUCAUCGACAGAAAGAUUAUCACAGCGUAGUUGCUACUUCCUAUACGUGGAAGUUCUUGGAUAUCCAGGAUAUGGUUUUAAACGAAAUUCUCUUCUCUCAUGAUACACUGAUGCUUCGGGACGUCUGGGUGGAGCAGCUAAAAAAGGAAGAGAUAAAUAGGAGGUAUUUCUGUCAUUGAAAUUCGUAGAUUUUUAAUGAAAUAAGUUAAUUUCAUUUAAAAUAUCACGUUGAUGUUGGAUACCAAGUAAAGUUUCAACGUGCUUCAUGGGACAUGCUAUGCCUACUAUUUCAACUUAUCUGUGGCGUUUUCAAUAUGGGUUUGAAGUAACAGGGUUCAGGGUUUGAAUCGACUUCAGGGCUCCUAUAUCAGUCCAGUAUAUCAAGUGGUUAAAAUGAUAAAAAAAACUUUGGCGAAAAAAAA